This 508-nucleotide ribosomal RNA is filed under the name uncultured bacterium. Its description in RNAcentral is "partial 16S ribosomal RNA". The record is from RNAcentral.
GUAGUUAGCCGUGGCUUUCUGGUCAGAUACCGUCAAGGCCGGAGCAGUUACUCUCCGACUUGUUCUUCUCUGACAACAGAGUUUUACGAUCCGAAAACCUUCUUCCCUCACGCGGCGUUGCUGGGUCAGGCUUGCGCCCAUUGCCCAAUAUUCCCCACUGCUGCCUCCCGUAGGAGUCUGGACCGUGUCUCAGUUCCAGUGUGGCCGAUCAGCCUCUCAGCUCGGCUACCCAUCGCUGACUUGGUGGGCCGUUACCCCGCCAACUAUCUAAUGGGACGCGAACCCCUCCAAUAGCGGAUUGCUCCUUUGACCUCUCUCUGAUGCCAGAGUGUGGUCUUAUGCGGUAUUAGCAACCGUUUCCGAUUGUUAUCCCCCUCUACUGGGCAGGUUGUUCACGCGUUACUCACCCGUUCGCCACUAAGUUAUCAACCGAAAUCAAUAACUCCGUUCGACUUGCAUGUGUUAGGCACGCCGCCAGCGUUCGUCCUGAGCCAGGAUCAAACUCUGA